This 194-nucleotide unclassified non-coding RNA is filed under the name plant metagenome. Its description in RNAcentral is "partial contains small subunit ribosomal RNA and internal transcribed spacer 1". The record is from RNAcentral.
AGUCGUAACAAGUUUACGUGAGGUGAACUGCGGAAGGAUCCAAUUGAAUGAGAUGGCAGUGCCCUUCGGGGUAGACCUCCCACCCCCUGUUUACCGUACCCGUUGCUUUGGCGGUCCCGUCGCAAGACGGGCCGCCAGAGGACCUUUAAAACCCGUAUUAUCAUUGUCGUCUGAGUACUAUACAAUAGUUAAAA